GACGAACGCUUGCGGCGUGCUUAACACAUGCAAGUCGAACGGAAAGGCCCUGCUUUUGUGGGGUGCUCGAGUGGCGAACGGGUGAGUAACACGUGAGUAACCUGCCCUUGACUUUGGGAUAACUUCAGGAAACUGGGGCUAAUACCGGAUAGGAGCUCCUGCUGCAUGGUGGGGGUUGGAAAGUUUCGGCGGUUGGGGAUGGACUCGCGGCUUAUCAGCUUGUUGGUGGGGUAGUGGCUUACCAAGGCUUUGACGGGUAGCCGGCCUGAGAGGGUGACCGGCCACAUUGGGACUGAGAUACGGCCCAGACUCCUACGGGAGGCAGCAGUGGGGAAUAUUGCACAAUGGGCGGAAGCCUGAUGCAGCAACGCCGCGUGCGGGAUGACGGCCUUCGGGUUGUAAACCGCUUUCGCCUGUGACGAAGCGUGAGUGACGGUAAUGGGUAAAGAAGCACCGGCUAACUACGUGCCAGCAGCCGCGGUGAUACGUAGGGUGCGAGCGUUGUCCGGAUUUAUUGGGCGUAAAGGGCUCGUAGGUGGUUGAUCGCGUCGGAAGUGUAAUCUUGGGGCUUAACCCUGAGCGUGCUUUCGAUACGGGUUGACUUGAGGAAGGUAGGGGAGAAUGGAAUUCCUGGUGGAGCGGUGGAAUGCGCAGAUAUCAGGAGGAACACCAGUGGCGAAGGCGGUUCUCUGGGCCUUUCCUGACGCUGAGGAGCGAAAGCGUGGGGAGCGAACAGGCUUAGAUACCCUGGUAGUCCACGCUGUAAACGGUGGGUACUAGGUGUGGGGUCCAUUCCACGGGUUCCGUGCCGUAGCUAACGCUUUAAGUACCCCGCCUGGGGAGUACGGCCGCAAGGCUAAAACUCAAAGGAAUUGACGGGGCCCCGCACAAGCGGCGGAGCAUGCGGAUUAAUUCGAUGCAACGCGUAGAACCUUACCUGGGUUUGAUAUGGAUCGGGAGUGCUCAGAGAUGGGUGUGCCUCUUUUGGGGUCGGUUCACAGGUGGUGCAUGGCUGUCGUCAGCUCGUGUCGUGAGAUGUUGGGUUAAGUCCCGCAACGAGCGCAACCCUUGUUCACUGUUGCCAGCACGUUAUGGUGGGGACUCAGUGGAGACCGCCGGGGUCAACUCGGAGGAAGGUGGGGAUGACGUCAAGUCAUCAUGCCCCUUAUGUCCAGGGCUUCACGCAUGCUACAAUGGCUGGUACAGAGAGUGGCGAGCCUGUGAGGGUGAGCGAAUCUCGGAAAGCCGGUCUCAGUUCGGAUUGGGGUCUGCAACUCGACCUCAUGAAGUCGGAGUCGCUAGUAAUCGCAGAUCAGCAACGCUGCGGUGAAUACGUUCCCGGGGCU
Molecule: ribosomal RNA, 1346 nt
Filed under: uncultured bacterium
Lineage: Bacteria
Description: partial 16S ribosomal RNA
Rfam family: Bacterial small subunit ribosomal RNA
Source: RNAcentral